GGCCAUAAUUCAGUGGUAGAACAUCUGCUCUGCAUGCAGAAGACCCAGGUUCAAUCCCAGGCAUCCCCA
Molecule: non-coding RNA, 69 nt
Organism: Podarcis lilfordi (Lilford's wall lizard)
Lineage: Eukaryota; Metazoa; Chordata; Lepidosauria; Squamata; Lacertidae
Source: the annotation of a GenBank genome assembly